RNAcentral lists this ribosomal RNA (630 nucleotides) under uncultured bacterium. RNAcentral's name for it is "bacterial SSU rRNA". It matches the Rfam family "Bacterial small subunit ribosomal RNA", at positions 9 to 647 of the family's 1533-position model. The record is from RNAcentral.
GAGUUUGGAUCCUGGCUCAGGGUUAACGCUGGCGGCGCGCAUAACACAUGCAAGUCGAGCGAGGGCUUAUCUCCCGCAAGGGAGGUGAGUUCCUAGCGGCGAACGGGUGAGUAACACGUGGGCAACCUUUCCUAUCGCGGGGGAUAACACCGGGAAACCGAUGCUAAUACCGCAUGUCGUCACUGGUCGCAUGGCUGGUGAAGAAAGCAGCAAUGCACGAUGGGGUGGGCCCGCGGCCUAUCAGCUAGUCGGUGGGGUAACGGCCUACCGAGGCGAUGACGGGUAGCUGGUCUGAGAGGACGGCCAGCCACACGGGGACUGAGACACGGCCCCGACUCCUACGGGAGGCAGCAGUGAGGAAUCUUCCGCAAUGGGCGAAAGCCUGACGGAGCGACGCCGCGUGUGGGAUGAAGUCUUUCGGGAUGUAAACCACUGUCGGAGGGGAAGACAUCGACGGUACCCUCCAAGAAAGCCCCGGCUAACUACGUGCCAGCAGCCGCGGUAAUACGUAGGGGGCAAGCGUUAUCCAGAUUUACUGGGCGUAAAGCGCGUGUAGGCGGCUGGUUAGGUGUGAUGUGAAAUCUUCCGGCUCAACCGGAAAACUGCAUUGCAAACCGGCCUGGCUAGAGU